This 207-nucleotide ribosomal RNA is filed under the name uncultured bacterium. RNAcentral describes it as "partial 16S ribosomal RNA". It matches the Rfam family "Bacterial small subunit ribosomal RNA", at positions 568 to 774 of the family's 1533-position model. The record is from RNAcentral.
CGCGUAGGCGGAUGAUUAAGUCAAAUGUGAAAGCCCAGGGCUUAACCUUGGAACUGCAUUUGAUACUGGUCAUCUAGAGUACAGUAGAGGGGGGUGGAAUUCCAGGUGUAGCGGUGAAAUGCGUAGAGAUCUGGAGGAACAUCAGUGGCGAAGGCGACCCCCUGGACUGAUACUGACGCUGAGGUGCGAAAGCGUGGGUAGCGAACA